Long non-coding RNA from Mauremys mutica (yellowpond turtle), 804 nucleotides. RefSeq lists it as uncharacterized. The record is from RefSeq and is a predicted model, not a curated record. Lineage: Eukaryota; Metazoa; Chordata; Testudines; Geoemydidae. The transcript has 4 exons.
AACUCCUUAUAGAGAGGUUGAUACUCAGUAUUCUAAUCUUUACCUGGAAUGCAGCUAGAAGAUAAACGUCUCAAGCAUUCACGUUGCGUUCAGACUUGAUUGAUUCUUCUCUUGGUUGCAUUUUCAAGGGAAGGGGAGGAGCAGAAUGGGGGCAUAAGUGACUGGAGUCUGCCAGAUAGUCUCGGCCAGUUUUAAGAUGGCUUCAUUAAUGGGACGUGCCACCUUACUGGGACCAAUGCUCUGGAGAAUGUCUGAAAGUUCAUGAGGGGUGUCCUGUACCUCCUUCAGGGAAUGUGUCAGCAAUCCUCCUGUGCAAGUCUUGAAACUGCCCAGAGUCAUCAGAAAGUAAAGUUGUACAAUAUACCACUGUGCUACGGGGCAGGAACAACGAGCAGCCCGGAAGAGCAGCAGAAUUCGCUGAAGGACCCCAGACACCUUUUGACGAUAAUCUCUCUCAAUUUUUAAAGGAGAGUCAUUGUAGUCUUUCUGAGAAAUGUAAAGUUUAAGUACAUGACAAUGAGGCCAAUAGUUUGGGAGGAUAUAAAGAAUAAAGGAACUGAGCUACACAUGGAAUUUCUGCUCUUCAGAACAUUUAUCUUCUUUGUCUUAAGAACAGAGAUUCCACAAAGUAGAAAGAAAAAUUGAAAGGAGCUUUUCAAAGAGGCUUCUUGUUAUUACGGUGCCAUACAAGUAAUUGGCUGAAGUUUUUUUGGAAGAAAAACUGAAUUAUAAAGUUCAACUUCCACUAAAAAUACUUACUUCACUGAGAGAAGCUGGUUGUGGACAGUAUAAUGGUGGUGCAGG